GAUUUUUCUAAAGAGGUAAAGAUGAUGAUAUAUUUUUUUUUUUUGUUGUAAUGACACUGUCGAAUAUGACAUUUAUUUUUUGUUAAGAAAACUCUUAAGGAAAAAAACAUGGCAGACUUAGAGACUGCACUGCAUGUACCGCGAAUAGUUAUCACUUAUAUACGUUUCCAAAUUCACGUAUAUCUAUAUACAUGUAUACUGUUUAAAUAUGUUUAUAUUAGAAACUAUUGUUGGUUACUUUUAAACUGUUUUUCCGACCAGUACUUUGUGGGAUGUUUCGAGUGUCUUUCCAUGUUUCCUGUUAGUUGUCAUUCCUUAAAGUUUCAGUGACCAGAUACUGACUAACCUAAUUAAAGUAUUGACGUAAUUUAUCUUAGGUUUAUUUGCAGCUUUUCGUGCACUGCUCCAAAGCUCUGGAACUCCCUUCCCAUCAAGAUUAGGGAAGCUGACAAGCUAGCUGCUUUCAAAAGCCUGCUAAAAACCCACUUCUUUGUACAAUAUUUUGUUAACAGACCGAUACAUUGAUGCUUUUUUCCCCUUCUUCUUCAUAAAACAGCGUAGAACAGUAUUUUAUCCUAGGGUCACUUAAAUACUUUUAAAUAUGUAUUUAUGUUUAUCUUGUUUAAUCUAUACGUUUUACAUUUAUGAAUUUUGUUAAUGUGGAAUGCAUUAUUUUUGUAUGCAUAUUUGUUAGUAUUUUUGCAAUUUUUCUGUGAAGCACUUUUGAACGUGUACACGUACAUGAAAAGAGUGCUAUAUAAAUGCGGUAUAAUAAUAAUAAUAAUAAUAAUAAUAAUAAUAAUAAUAAAUGAUAGGGAAGUUGUUAACUGCAUGAUUCAUGCAAAGAUACGCACAACACUAGAAGUUUUUCCUUAACUUCAUGCACCGUUUCACCGCGCUCAGGUGACAUAUAUACCGUAAAACGGGCUCUUACGGUAUUAAGCUAUUACUAAGGCUGGAUUGUGGAACUUUCAAUUUAAUUUGGAUAAAACCAAAGAGAAAAUGGACAAAAAAGAGCUUAGAGAGAGAAUGGGUUCGAAUCAACAUUUUCAUCCUGAAAAGAAUCCCUGUAACAGUAAGUUGCCUAAGCAGCACUGGUGGAACGUUCCGAGGGCAUCACAGCCACUGCAGAUUGGCCGGCAGAGAUCUUCGACAUUGGAAGAUUCGUCAUCGUCUCCUGUCGGAUCGCCGGCGUCGUCCUCGCCGUUCAUGCCGUCGUCACCUGUCGGAUCGCCGGCAACUUUACCCAAGCACCCGCAUUUACAUUUUGAUUUCGAGAAACAACGCGCCAGAGCUUUCUCAGCAGACGACCACAAGGAUAGUGUGCUGACAUAGAAAAAAGACUUAUUAUUUGUGCUAACAAAGACAUGAAAUAAGUAUAAUUAUAUUUGUCGAGGUAGCUACAAAAACAAUGGAAAAAGUAACAUAUUAGAUGCAAGUACUUGCUUUAAGUUAUUUCUGUUUACGCAGUGAAAUAUCUACAAGUAUGUCAGACAUAUGUGUACCGUAUCCGAACCAAAUAAAAACUAGUAUGCUUCUUACAAUAUGUUGAAUAUU
This is a long non-coding RNA of Mercenaria mercenaria, 1557 nucleotides long. RefSeq lists it as uncharacterized. The record is from RefSeq and is a predicted model, not a curated record. Lineage: Eukaryota; Metazoa; Mollusca; Bivalvia; Venerida; Veneridae. The transcript is spliced from 3 exons.